GACAGAGGUCUCGAGCGUUAGGCGGAAUCACUGGGCUUAAAGCGUGUGUAGGCGGACUUGUAAGUACCUUGUGAAAUCCCACGGCUCAACCGUGGAACUGCUUGGUAUACUGCUUGUCUUGGGCCACUUAGGGGUUACCGGAACAAACGGUGGAGCGGUGAAAUGCGCAGAUAUCGGGAGGAACACCGGUGGCGAAGGCGGUUCUCUGGGCCUGUACUGACGCUGAGGAGCGAAAGCGUGGGGAGCGAACAGG
Molecule: ribosomal RNA, 253 nt
Filed under: uncultured bacterium
Lineage: Bacteria
Description: partial 16S ribosomal RNA
Rfam family: Bacterial small subunit ribosomal RNA
Source: RNAcentral